CAAGGAAUCUUCCGCAAUGGGGGCAACCCUGACGGAGCAACGCCGCGUGCGGGAUGACGCCUUUCGGGGUGUAAACCGCUUUUCUGGGGGAAGAACCUCCCUUCGGGGAGCUGACGGUACCGCAGGAAGAAGGACCGGCUAACUACGUGCCAGCAGCCGCGGUAAUACGUAGGGUCCGAGCGUUGUCCGGAGUUACUGGGCGUAAAGCGCGCGCAGGCGGCGGUGUUGGCCCGGCGUGAAAGCCCCCGGCUCAACCGGGGAGGGUCGUCGGGGACCGCACCGCUUGAGGGCGGUAGGGGCUGGUGGAAUGCCUGGUGUAGUGGUGAAAUGCGUAGAGAUCAGGCGGAACACCCGUGGCGAAGGCGGCCAGCUGGGCCGUCCCUGACGCUGAGGCGCGAAGGCGUGGGGAGCGAACGG
This 417-nucleotide ribosomal RNA is filed under the name uncultured bacterium. Its description in RNAcentral is "bacterial SSU rRNA". It matches the Rfam family "Bacterial small subunit ribosomal RNA", at positions 355 to 775 of the family's 1533-position model. The record is from RNAcentral.